UGAAUAUUUCGGUUAUUAAUUGGAAAACAAGAUGACGCUGCUGUGCUACUGUUCACUUGGUGACUGUGGGGGUAAUGAAACCUGUGUUCGAAAGUUUUUGUGAAGUAUGUCAUAUUCCAAGGGAAAAUUCAAACAAAUCUAAUGGUGGUUCUGUGUGUUUUCGUCCUAAAGUGUGUUUUGCAAGUGAAGCCCACAAAGUGCUUGGUUUUUAUGUUACAUGUCUUGUAAUCAACUAUGUCAGCUGUCAAACCAAAAAACUAUUCACAACCCAUUAUGUUGCAUUCAUCAAACUAUUCUGGUGCUCAUUGAGAGGUUCAGCUCAUGAAACUUCAUUUGUAAUGGAUACUUUCCGUUGAGGAAUGUCAUGAAUGAUGCAAAUACUGUGGUGCACCAAAUUCUUCUUAUGCUGCAGUGCCAACUGUAACAACAGCCAUUUCGGCAGUUGUAAUCUCUACUUAGCCUACCAACAGACAUAGACAUGUACCUCAACACAAUUUCUAUUGGACUGCCAACUCUUUGCCGUCUGCUGCCUAUUUGCUGGCCCUACAGUAUUUCUAGCCAUUGGACAACAGAA
Long non-coding RNA from Daphnia carinata, 574 nucleotides. RefSeq lists it as uncharacterized. The transcript is spliced from 4 exons. NCBI's taxonomy places the organism in Eukaryota, Metazoa, Arthropoda, Branchiopoda, Diplostraca, Daphniidae. The record is from RefSeq and is a predicted model, not a curated record.